UAGGGACAUUGGUUAAGGUAGGGAAAUAUAGGCUAAGUGACUCAAAUAGAUCAAGAACACCAACCUUAUGACUUCACUAAUCAAGCAUGGAAUAAAUUCCAUCUUCCACCCAACUAUAUCACCAUAAACAACACAACUCAAGGGAUUUAAUCAUCACAAAAUAGAACUAAACACUCUUUUAUGCUCUCCAUUUAUUUCCAACAAACAAAGUCGAUUCUCUAACAGAUUUCUCAAUAAACACUCGACUUUAUACUUUUAUCUUUUCUUUCUUUUCUCUUUUUUUUCUUUUUUUUUCAACUAUUUUUUUUCUUUUCUUUUCUAACUUUUUUUUUUUUCUUUUCUUUUCACAACUUUUCUAGAGCUUAUAAGAGUAAAUAGUAGCACAAUAUCAUCCCUUCUUUUUCACAACCCACUAUGAUAUUCACCACACAAAGAUUCUCAUAUACUACAUCACCCCUAUCAUCCGGCUAGAGAAUAAAAACUAAAUAGGCUCAAAGUGGAUAACAAAGGAUAAAUUUUUCGUUAAGGACAGUGUUUGGGAAAAUAAUGUGGCUAACAAAAGAUGGCCUAAAAUCAUCUCCUAAUCCUGGGCACAACAGCAACCUCGACACAGAAACCAUGGCAAGUUCUAGAAGAUCACCACAUGCAUGACAAAACUCACAACAAAGAAUAAAUUGUGUAUGAUAAACAAUUAUGGCUCAAAAUCUCACAGAUUUAUUCAACGUCUAAAAGUCAAGGUCAAAAUCACUCUAGAAUUAUGCAAAUUAGUUCCAAUUAUGCUCAAAUCAUCAAAGAAAAUCAAACUCCAAUUUUUUUUUUCCACAGAAAUCAUCAUUGGCAUCUUACCAGAAAUCUAAUGGAGCUAACAAAAUCACACACCACCAACCAAGCAAGAUAAAACAAUAAAGCCAACAAAAAGAAUAAAAGUGAUACACAUAUCUACUCUCACCCCCCUCCCCCAAACUUAUUACAGAACAUAAGUUCGAAAAUAAGUUUGGAGGGAUGAUGAUAUGUGUGUCACUACUCACAGAAACACAUGCUCCAAGGUGGUAGUAUGGACAAGGCGCGAGUUCCCGCAUCUUCCAAGCUCAACACUGCACUAAACUCUCAAACAAAACAAAGAAACACAAAGAAACAAAAAGAAACAAAAAGACGAAAAACAAACAAAGAAGAAAAAUAGUUGGGUUACCUCCCAACAAGUGCUUAAUUUAACGUCUAGAGCUCGACGAUACCUCAUGGUCU
RNAcentral lists this long non-coding RNA (1242 nucleotides) under Salvia miltiorrhiza (redroot sage). RNAcentral's name for it is "long non-coding RNA (SMIL_LNC011832)". The record is from RNAcentral. Lineage: Eukaryota; Viridiplantae; Streptophyta; Magnoliopsida; Lamiales; Lamiaceae.